GGGGGUGGUUCGGUCCCGGUGGGCCGCGCGGUCUUCAAAACCGUUGGGAGGCUGCGGAGCAGACUCCGGUGGGUUCGACUCCCAUCCACUCCCG
Molecule: transfer RNA, 94 nt
Filed under: Chloroflexota bacterium
Lineage: Bacteria; Bacillati; Chloroflexota
Also listed under: 2 other names
Description: Chloroflexi bacterium (anaerobic digester metagenome) tRNA-Sec
Rfam family: Selenocysteine transfer RNA
Source: RNAcentral